RNAcentral lists this ribosomal RNA (301 nucleotides) under uncultured bacterium. RNAcentral's name for it is "partial 16S ribosomal RNA". It matches the Rfam family "Bacterial small subunit ribosomal RNA", at positions 509 to 807 of the family's 1533-position model. The record is from RNAcentral.
CAGCAGCCACGGUAAUACAGAGGAUGCAAGCGUUAUCCGGAAGGAUUGGGCGUAAAGCGUCUGUAGGUGGCUUUUCAAGUCCGCCGUCAAAUCCCAGGGCUCAACCCUGGACAGGCGGUGGAAACUACCAAGCUGGAGUACGGUAGGGGCAGAGGGAAUUUCCAGUGGAGCGGUGAAAUGCGUUGAGAUCGAAAAGAACACCAACAGCGAAAGCACUCUGCUGGGACGACACUGACACUAAGAGACGAAAGCUAGGGGAGCAAAUGGGAUUAGAUACCCCCGUAGUCCCUGUCUCUUAUAC